Molecule: long non-coding RNA, 3542 nt
Organism: Felis catus (domestic cat)
Lineage: Eukaryota; Metazoa; Chordata; Mammalia; Carnivora; Felidae
Exons: 2
Source: RefSeq, a predicted model, not a curated record
UGACGACCCGGACGCCGCCAGGCCCCGCCCACCCCCCGCCCCCUCCAGAGUCCAGGCCCUGCCCCGCCCGGCUCGGACCUGCGCCGUGGCCGCCACCCCUGGCGCCACCGGGGACAGUCGGGGCCGCAGUGGCGCCGCUCCUCCUCGCCCUCCGGCGGCGGGCCGCGCGGCGCGGGGAGCAGGCCGAGGGGAGCCGGGCGGAGCCAGGGAGCCCGCGGGGAGCUGGCGGCGCCUCACCGCCGCCAGUUUUACGGGGCUGAGGAUCAAGGCCCAAGGAGCCCUAGGGGAGGCCUGGGAGCCCAGCGAGCACGUGUUCUCUGCAAGGCUUGGGGCUCCUCUGCAGAGUGAGGGGUUUCACCAGGAGGCACCUCCACCUGGCCACCUCUUCAGGGUCCGCCGCCUCCCACCCUGUGACUGUUGGGCCCCCAGCGGGAGCCUGACUGCUUCUUCCCCCACAGGCCUUUGCAGCCUCCCCACGGGGGGGGGGGGCGGGGAGGGGGUACUUUGGGGCAGAAAUGCCAGGCAACAGGGGCCAGAGGCUGCCUACCUGCUCAGCACAGGUGCAAGCAUGUCCCAGAUGCCUCGUGGGCACUGGGACCAUACCACGGACCAGGCUGCUGGGGUCUGAGUCAGAUCCCGGACCAGUGGGGACAUUGCAGAGGUGGGCACGUCCAUGCGUUUCCCCCGGGGGGAGUGGGGGCGUGCUGGGUGUGGGUGGGAGGUGCCUGGGAGAGGUGCCCUGGAGGGGGUGCUUGAGUGAGCCGGAGACCACCCAGGGGAGAAGGGCCCCACGGGGCAGCUUGGGCAGCAAAAGGCUGCUGGUUGCCUAGGGGCCCAAUGUAGGGAGCUUCUGGGGUCUCUCCCAGGCGUUAGCGGGAGGGGCAGGGAGGGGCUGGGCGCCAGAGACACCCGAGGAGCUCUCCUGGAGGGGACUGUGAGUGCUAGCUGGAUGGGAGGGGCCGGCAGACCCACCCUGCAGCUCUUCGGCUGAGCUGACCCCGCCCCGGGGACUUUCUCUCUGCCUCUGCCCCGCUGGGCUGUGCCCUGUGCACUUUUUAAGUGAAGUCGGAAGCCAUUUUCAAAAUCGCUUCUCCGGGAAGCAGAACCUAAAGGCACAGGCGGGCGGUUGUUUGAUUUGCAACUUAAAGGGUGGCGGUUUAGGGUCCCCCCCCCACCAGACCAUCACUCUCCUGGGAGGAGCACCCCAAGCCGGCUCGCGUGCUCCCCCACAGGCUUCCCUCCCAACAGAGCUCUGAUUAAAAGGUGGAUACCCUUAGGGAGGGGCCCACCAGCCCAGGGGGCCUGGGUGCUGACCCCACUUGCGGACUCCUUGCUGACCCAGUGUUGUGUCCUCUGAGUGUCCCCUUCAAAGGCCCACCCUACACACGCUGACCAGCCCAGCCUGGCCAGCAGGUUCUAGACAGAAGAGCCCCAGGCAGUGGGAGAGCUGCCCUCAGGCUGUGGAGUGACCCCCAGGCUCAGGGAGAUCCAGCUGGGAGCCUCCCCCCUGGGUCCCCGGACUCUGCCCCCAAAGCCUCUGCUCUCUGCCGCAGGCACCGGGCCUACCCAGCGCCCAGCCCGUGGCCUGGCCUGCCUGGCAGAGUGAGCAGGGCCGGCAAACACGGCCGGGUGUGCAGGGUGGUGGCGAGAAGGGGGACGGGAGACCAUCCGGCACCCUCGCUGGGCCGAGCUGAGUGACCACGAGCUGGCAGGAGGGGCGGCGGGGCGCUCCGGGCAGGCGCUAGCCGCUGCGUCCGGCUCCCCUGGUGUGGUUUCUGUGCUGGGCCUCGGAGGUCCUCCAGGAUCUGCCCCCACACCCCCGCUCCCUGCCGCCCCCCUGCCAGCCCAGUACCAGCGUCCCUCCUCGAGGACGGGCCGGGCCCCUGAGAACCAGGGCCUGGGUGGGGACGUUGAUCUCACUAAGCACCCACGUGCUAGCACCCAUCCCACGUCUGGGGCAGAGUGGGGUGUGCCAGCGGACCAGGCCUCCCUGAGGCCAGCACUGGCACACGGCCCCUGUGCUGUCCCCAAAGGCAGGGGUUCCAGGGAGUCUGCUUUGCAAAUGCUGAACCCAGGGGACCCGAAACUUCCCCUGCGGGUCACAGACCCCAUUGGAAACAUUUGUUUGGUUCUGUUCCCCUCUGGACACCCUGCGUCCGCGAGACCGGCGUGGUUCUGUCUGACCACCCUGCGGGGUCAGGUCUGGGGCCCUGUCCCCACCCCAGGGAUUAUGAGGACUGUCACGUCUCGGGACGAAGCAUCUCACAGGCCUGGCUGGGAACGGAACCCGCCGGGACUCCUGGAGGUGCCACAGAGAGCAGUUAAGAGGGCGGACUCAGGCCACGUUCGUUGCUGGAGUCCCGCUGCCUCCCCUGUGUCUCAGCGUCGUCCUCCGUAGAGUGGGAAUCAUGGCAGUGACACACACAGCCUGCCGGUGGAGUGAACCGUCUAACGUGGGAAGGAUUUCGCGUGGCACUGGCCGCAGUAAGGGCUCUGCAAGAGUCAGUGCUCAUCACGGCCAUCACACCACCGCCACCGUGGCCUGUCACCAUCAGUUGUCCCCUCUGUCAUCACCAUCACCACCACCUCUGUCAUCACAACCACCUGCCAUCACCCCUGUCACUGGGCCAUCAGUGGAACCACAGGGGGAGGUCAGGGCUGAGCGGGGCACAUCCCCUGAGCAGCGCCUGCCCGGUGGUGGCAGCGGAGGUGCGGAAGGGCCCGGGUGCCUCCCGGGGAGCUGUCGUCGCCCCACUCACCCCAUGGCCUGCGCCCCCCACUCCGCUCCGGGGCCUUGUCAGGGCAGCUGAGGCAGCCAGGCCCGGAUCCGAGGGGGCCCGCGGUAGCAUCUGAACAAGAACAGUUUUCGGGCGGGGGAUCAUUUCCCAAGGUAAUUGCUUCCAUUUCAAAACAGUUGAUCCGUGGCCGCCCUUUUUCUGAUCCAGCUCGCUGGCUCUUCCGUGGUCGGGGAAACCACGGCAGGCGACAGGGAAGUCCCUCGUUCACCCUUGCACACCUGUCACACUCACCUCCAAGGGCUCCCCAGGGCUCGAGGGCACCUGCCCAGUUCUUCAUCUCACCUGGUUUGCCGUUCGCCUCUGGUGUCCCCAUGACUUCCCGCAGGAGAAAUGCCCCCUCCGCUGACCCCAACCGCCCGGGCGGAAGUGACCCAGCCUCUCUCCCAGAGUCCAAGACCAGCGGCGCUCCCGGGGAGGCUCCGCGUGACGAGGCACAGCGGAACACGGCCCGUGGCAGGAUAUUCCCAGAGCCUGCCUGCCUGGUCCUCCCCAAGAACUCCAGCGGGCGGCCGGAGAAACAGACCGCAGAGGGUGGAGCACAUAAAAACAGUCUCCCCAAAGAGCUGCAGGCCCACGCGUGGGGACGGCGGGCAGAGUGACGAGCUGGGGCCACUGCCCCGGGGUCCCGCCAGACCCACAUCUUCUCACUGAGGACCACCACACCCUGGACGGAAACCAGCCUCGGUCCCAGGUGGCCGCCUGGGUUUUCAUUCUCCUGACACCUCAUUAACCUCAUUAACCUCA